RNAcentral lists this transfer RNA (87 nucleotides) under Patescibacteria group bacterium. RNAcentral describes it as "tRNA-Leu". It matches the Rfam family "tRNA". Rfam says of the family: Transfer RNA (tRNA) molecules are approximately 80 nucleotides in length. Their secondary structure includes four short double-helical elements and three loops (D, anti-codon, and T loops). The record is from RNAcentral.
GCCGGGAUGGUGAAAUUGGCAGACACACUACCUUGAGGUGGUAGCGCUCGCAAGGGCAUGGAGGUUCAAGUCCUCUUCCCGGCACCA